GCUGGGCACGGUGGCACGUGCCUGUAGUCCCAGCUACUCGGGGGGCUGAGGUGGGAGGAUCACUUGAGCCCAGGAGUUCUGGGCUGUGGUGCGCUAUGCCAAUCGGGUGUCUGCACCAAGUUCGGCAUCAAUAUGAUGAUCUCCCAGGAGCGGGGGACCACCAGGUUGCCUAAGGAGGGGUGAACCGGAGCAGGUCAAAACUCCCGUGCUGAUCAGUAGUGGGAUCGCGCCUGUGAAUAGCCACUGCACUCCAACCUGGGCAACAUAGUGAGACCCCAUCUCUG
Molecule: unclassified non-coding RNA, 284 nt
Organism: Callithrix jacchus (white-tufted-ear marmoset)
Lineage: Eukaryota; Metazoa; Chordata; Mammalia; Primates; Cebidae
Rfam family: Metazoan signal recognition particle RNA
About the family: The signal recognition particle (SRP) is a universally conserved ribonucleoprotein.
Source: Ensembl